This 2893-nucleotide ribosomal RNA is filed under the name Escherichia coli. RNAcentral describes it as "bacterial LSU rRNA". It matches the Rfam family "Bacterial large subunit ribosomal RNA". The record is from RNAcentral. Lineage: Bacteria; Pseudomonadati; Pseudomonadota; Gammaproteobacteria; Enterobacterales; Enterobacteriaceae.
UUAAGCGACUAAGCGUACACGGUGGAUGCCCUGGCAGUCAGAGGCGAUGAAGGACGUGCUAAUCUGCGAUAAGCGUCGGUAAGGUGAUAUGAACCGUUAUAACCGGCGAUUUCCGAAUGGGGAAACCCAGUGUGAUUCGUCACACUAUCAUUAACUGAAUCCAUAGGUUAAUGAGGCGAACCGGGGGAACUGAAACAUCUAAGUACCCCGAGGAAAAGAAAUCAACCGAGAUUCCCCCAGUAGCGGCGAGCGAACGGGGAGCAGCCCAGAGCCUGAAUCAGUGUGUGUGUUAGUGGAAGCGUCUGGAAAGGCGCGCGAUACAGGGUGACAGCCCCGUACACAAAAAUGCACAUACUGUGAGCUCGAUGAGUAGGGCGGGACACGUGGUAUCCUGUCUGAAUAUGGGGGGACCAUCCUCCAAGGCUAAAUACUCCUGACUGACCGAUAGUGAACCAGUACCGUGAGGGAAAGGCGAAAAGAACCCCGGCGAGGGGAGUGAAAAAGAACCUGAAACCGUGUACGUACAAGCAGUGGGAGCACAGAGCAAUCUGUGUGACUGCGUACCUUUUGUAUAAUGGGUCAGCGACUUAUAUUCUGUAGCAAGGUUAACCGAAUAGGGGAGCCGAAGGGAAACCGAGUCUUAACUGGGCGUUAAGUUGCAGGGUAUAGACCCGAAACCCGGUGAUCUAGCCAUGGGCAGGUUGAAGGUUGGGUAACACUAACUGGAGGACCGAACCGACUAAUGUUGAAAAAUUAGCGGAUGACUUGUGGCUGGGGGUGAAAGGCCAAUCAAACCGGGAGAUAGCUGGUUCUCCCCGAAAGCUAUUUAGGUAGCGCCUCGUGAAUUCAUCUCCGGGGGUAGAGCACUGUUUCGGCAAGGGGGUCAUCCCGACUUACCAACCCGAUGCAAACUGCGAAUACCGGAGAAUGUUAUCACGGGAGACACACGGCGGGUGCUAACGUCCGUCGUGAAGAGGGAAACAACCCAGACCGCCAGCUAAGGUCCCAAAGUCAUGGUUAAGUGGGAAACGAUGUGGGAAGGCCCAGACAGCCAGGAUGUUGGCUUAGAAGCAGCCAUCAUUUAAAGAAAGCGUAAUAGCUCACUGGUCGAGUCGGCCUGCGCGGAAGAUGUAACGGGGCUAAACCAUGCACCGAAGCUGCGGCAGCGACGCUGAUGCGUUGUUGGGUAGGGGAGCGUUCUGUAAGCCUGUGAAGGUGUACUGUGAGGUAUGCUGGAGGUAUCAGAAGUGCGAAUGCUGACAUAAGUAACGAUAAAGCGGGUGAAAAGCCCGCUCGCCGGAAGACCAAGGGUUCCUGUCCAACGUUAAUCGGGGCAGGGUGAGUCGACCCCUAAGGCGAGGCCGAAAGGCGUAGUCGAUGGGAAACAGGUUAAUAUUCCUGUACUUGGUGUACUGCGAAGGGGACGGAGAAGGCUAUGUUGGCCGGGCGACGGUUGUCCCGGUUUAAGCGGUAGGCUGGUUUUCCGUGCAAAUCCGGAAAACUAAGGCUGAGGCGUGAUGACGAGGCACUACGGUGCUGAAGCAACAAAUGCCCUGCUUCCGUGAAAAGCCUCUAAGCAUCAGGUAACAUCAAAUCGUACCCCAAACCGACACAGGUGGUCAGGUAGAGAAUACCAAGGCGCUUGAGAGAACUCGGGUGAAGGAACUAGGCAAAAUGGUGCCGUAACUUCGGGAGAAGGCACGCUGAUAUGUAGGUGAAGUCCCUCGCGGAUGGAGCUGAAAUCAGUCGAAGAUACCAGCUGGCUGCAACUGUUUAUUAAAAACACAGCACUGUGCAAACACGAAAGUGGACGUAUACGGUGUGACGCCUGCCCGGUGCCGGAAGGUUAAUUGAUGGGGUCAGCGCAAGCGAAGCUCUUGAUCGAAGCCCCGGUAAACGGCGGCCGUAACUAUAACGGUCCUAAGGUAGCGAAAUUCCUUGUCGGGUAAGUUCCGACCUGCACGAAUGGCGUAAUGAUGGCCAGGCUGUCUCCACCCGAGACUCAGUGAAAUUGAACUCGCUGUGAAGAUGCAGUGUACCCGCGGCAAGACGGAAAGACCCCGUGAACCUUUACUAUAGCUUGACACUGAACAUUGAGCCUUGAUGUGUAGGAUAGGUGGGAGGCUUUGAAGUGUGGACGCCAGUCUGCAUGGAGCCGACCUUGAAAUACCACCCUUUAAUGUUUGAUGUUCUAACGUUGACCCGUAAUCCGGGUUGCGGACAGUGUCUGGUGGGUAGUUUGACUGGGGCGGUCUCCUCCUAAAGAGUAACGGAGGAGCACGAAGGUUGGCUAAUCGGUCGGACAUCAGGAGGUUAGUGCAAUGGCAUAAGCCAGCUUGACUGCGAGCGUGACGGCGCGAGCAGGUGCGAAAGCAGGUCAUAGUGAUCCGGUGGUUCUGAAUGGAAGGGCCAUCGCUCAACGGAUAAAAGGUACCGGGGAUAACAGGCUGAUACCGCCCAAGAGUUCAUAUCGACGGCGGUGUUUGGCACCUCGAUGUCGGCUCAUCACAUCCGGGCUGAAGUAGGUCCCAAGGGUAUGGCUGUUCGCCAUUUAAAGUGGUACGCGAGCUGGGUUUAGAACGUCGUGAGACAGUUCGGUCCCUAUCUGCCGUGGGCGCUGGAGAACUGAGGGGGGCUGCUCCUAGUACGAGAGGACCGGAGUGGACGCAUCACUGGUGUUCGGGUUGUCAUGCCAAUGGCACUGCCCGGUAGCUAAAUGCGGAAGAGAUAAGUGCUGAAAGCAUCUAAGCACGAAACUUGCCCCGAGAUGAGUUCUCCCUGACUCCUUGAGAGUCCUGAAGGAACGUUGAAGACGACGACGUUGAUAGGCCGGGUGUGUAAGCGCAGCGAUGCGUUGAGCUAACCGGUACUAAUGAACCGUGAGGCUUAACCU